RNAcentral lists this ribosomal RNA (942 nucleotides) under uncultured prokaryote. Its description in RNAcentral is "bacterial SSU rRNA". It matches the Rfam family "Bacterial small subunit ribosomal RNA", at positions 496 to 1438 of the family's 1533-position model. The record is from RNAcentral.
GCUAACUUCGUGCCAGCAGCCGCGGUAAUACGAAGGGACCUAGCGUAGUUCGGAAUUACUGGGCUUAAAGAGCACGUAGGUGGUUAAGAAAGUUGGUGGUGAAAUCCCGAGGCUUAACCUUGGAACUGCCACCAAAACUUUUUAACUAGAGUAUGAUUGAGGUAAGCGGAAUUUCUAGUGUAGAGGUGAAAUUCGUAGAUAUUAGAAAGAACACCAAUUGCGAAGGCAGCUUUCUGGAUCAUUACUGACACUGAGGUGCGAAAGCAUGGGUAGCGAAGAGGAUUAGAUACCCUCGUAGUCCAUGCCGUAAACGAUGUGUGCUAGACGUUGGGAAUUUAUUUUUCAGUGUCGCAGCAAAAGCGUUAAGCACACCGCCUGGGGAGUACGACCGCAAGGUUAAAACUCAAAUGAAUUGACGGGGACCCGCACAAGUAGUGGAGCAUGUGGUUUAAUUCGAAGAUACGCGCAGAACCUUACCAACACUUGACAUGUUCGUCGCGACUCUAAGAGAUUAGAGUUUUCGGUUCGGCCGGACGAAACACAGGUGCUGCAUGGCUGUCGUCAGCUCGUGUCGUGAGAUGUUGGGUUAAGUCCCGCAACGAGCGCAACCCUUACUUUUAGUUGCUACCAUUUAGUUGGGCACUCUAGAAGAACUGCCGGUGAUAAGCUGGAGGAAGGUGGGGAUGACGUCAAGUCCUCAUGGCCCUUAUGUGUUGGGCUACACACGUGCUACAAUGGUAUUUACAGUGGGAUGCAAAGAGGCAACUCCUAGCCAACCCUCAAAGAAUACCUCAGUUCGGAUUGUACUCUGCAACUCGAGUACAUGAAGCUGGAAUUACUAGUAAUCGCGGAUCAGCGCGCCGCGGUGAAUACGUUCCCGGGUCUUGUACACACCGCCCGUCACACCAUGGAAGUUGGUUACACCUUAAGGCAAAGUGUAAA